UGGUCGUUAGCUUUUUGAGGAGUCACGUUCAGUCAUAUAUACAUAUUGGCUCUUCACUACAUCAUUUGCUCACUUUUUGUUCAGGAUUUUCUCUAUGAUUUCCCGUUCUUGUAUUAUUGGGACUACAUUUUAGUUCGGUAUGUGUUAUGUAAACUUGAUUUUAGAUAUGGAUAUGUG
Zingiber officinale is the source of this 177-nucleotide long non-coding RNA. RefSeq lists it as uncharacterized. The transcript is spliced from 3 exons. The record is from RefSeq and is a predicted model, not a curated record. NCBI's taxonomy places the organism in Eukaryota, Viridiplantae, Streptophyta, Magnoliopsida, Zingiberales, Zingiberaceae.